RNAcentral lists this ribosomal RNA (500 nucleotides) under uncultured bacterium. RNAcentral describes it as "partial 16S ribosomal RNA". It matches the Rfam family "Bacterial small subunit ribosomal RNA", at positions 29 to 523 of the family's 1533-position model. The record is from RNAcentral.
AUUGAACGCUGGCGGCAUGCCUUACACAUGCAAGUCGAACGGCAGCACGGGAGCAAUCCUGGUGGCGAGUGGCGAACGGGUGAGUAAUAUAUCGGAACGUGCCCAGUAGUGGGGGAUAGCCCGGCGAAAGCCGGAUUAAUACCGCAUGAGACCUGAGGGUGAAAGCGGGGGAUCGCAAGACCUCGCGCUAUUGGAGCGGCCGAUAUCAGAUUAGCUAGUUGGUGGGGUAAAGGCCUACCAAGGCAACGAUCUGUAGUUGGUCUGAGAGGACGACCAGCCACACUGGGACUGAGACACGGCCCAGACUCCUACGGGAGGCAGCAGUGGGGAAUUUUGGACAAUGGGCGCAAGCCUGAUCCAGCAAUGCCGCGUGCAGGAAGAAGGCCUUCGGGUUGUAAACUGCUUUUGUCAGGGAAGAAAUCCCUUGGGAUAAUACCCCGGGGGGAUGACGGUACCUGAAGAAUAAGCACCGGCUAACUACGUGCCAGCCGCCGCGGUAA